Molecule: ribosomal RNA, 1540 nt
Filed under: Staphylococcus aureus
Lineage: Bacteria; Bacillati; Bacillota; Bacilli; Caryophanales; Staphylococcaceae
Description: 16S ribosomal RNA
Rfam family: Bacterial small subunit ribosomal RNA
Source: RNAcentral
AGAGUUUGAUCCUGGCUCAGGAUGAACGCUGGCGGCGUGCCUAAUACAUGCAAGUCGAGCGAACGGACGAGAAGCUUGCUUCUCUGAUGUUAGCGGCGGACGGGUGAGUAACACGUGGAUAACCUACCUAUAAGACUGGGAUAACUUCGGGAAACCGGAGCUAAUACCGGAUAAUAUUUUGAACCGCAUGGUUCAAAAGUGAAAGACGGUCUUGCUGUCACUUAUAGAUGGAUCCGCGCUGCAUUAGCUAGUUGGUAAGGUAACAGCUUACCAAGGCAACGAUGCAUAGCCGACCUGAGAGGGUGAUCGGCCACACUGGAACUGAGACACGGUCCAGACUCCUACGGGAGGCAGCAGUAGGGAAUCUUCCGCAAUGGGCGAAAGCCUGACGGAGCAACGCCGCGUGAGUGAUGAAGGUCUUCGGAUCGUAAAACUCUGUUAUUAGGGAAGAACAUAUGUGUAAGUAACUGUGCACAUCUUGACGGUACCUAAUCAGAAAGCCACGGCUAACUACGUGCCAGCAGCCGCGGUAAUACGUAGGUGGCAAGCGUUAUCCGGAAUUAUUGGGCGUAAAGCGCGCGUAGGCGGUUUUUUAAGUCUGAUGUGAAAGCCCACGGCUCAACCGUGGAGGGUCAUUGGAAACUGGAAAACUUGAGUGCAGAAGAGGAAAGUGGAAUUCCAUGUGUAGCGGUGAAAUGCGCAGAGAUAUGGAGGAACACCAGUGGCGAAGGCGACUUUCUGGUCUGUAACUGACGCUGAUGUGCGAAAGCGUGGGGAUCAAACAGGAUUAGAUACCCUGGUAGUCCACGCCGUAAACGAUGAGUGCUAAGUGUUAGGGGGUUUCCGCCCCUUAGUGCUGCAGCUAACGCAUUAAGCACUCCGCCUGGGGAGUACGACCGCAAGGUUGAAACUCAAAGGAAUUGACGGGGACCCGCACAAGCGGUGGAGCAUGUGGUUUAAUUCGAAGCAACGCGAAGAACCUUACCAAAUCUUGACAUCCUUUGACAACUCUAGAGAUAGAGCUUUCCCCUUCGGGGGACAAAGUGACAGGUGGUGCAUGGUUGUCGUCAGCUCGUGUCGUGAGAUGUUGGGUUAAGUCCCGCAACGAGCGCAACCCUUAAGCUUAGUUGCCAUCAUUAAGUUGGGCACUCUAAGUUGACUGCCGGUGACAAACCGGAGGAAGGUGGGGAUGACGUCAAAUCAUCAUGCCCCUUAUGAUUUGGGCUACACACGUGCUACAAUGGACAAUACAAAGGGCAGCGAAACCGCGAGGUCAAGCAAAUCCCAUAAAGUUGUUCUCAGUUCGGAUUGUAGUCUGCAACUCGACUACAUGAAGCUGGAAUCGCUAGUAAUCGUAGAUCAGCAUGCUACGGUGAAUACGUUCCCGGGUCUUGUACACACCGCCCGUCACACCACGAGAGUUUGUAACACCCGAAGCCGGUGGAGUAACCUUUUAGGAGCUAGCCGUCGAAGGUGGGACAAAUGAUUGGGGUGAAGUCGUAACAAGGUAGCCGUAUCGGAAGGUGCGGCUGGAUCACCU